CACGUAGUUAGCCGGGGCUUCUUAGUCAGGUACCGUCUUUUUUCGUCCCUGCUGAUAGAGCUUUACAUACCGAAAUACUUCCUCGCUCACGCGGCGUCGCUGCAUCAGGGUUUCCCCCAUUGUGCAAUAUUCCCCACUGCUGCCUCCCGUAGGAGUUUGGGCCGUGUCUCAGCCCCAAUGUGGCCGGUCACCCUCUCAGGCCGGCUACUGAUCGUUGCCUUGGUGGGCUUUUACCCCUCCAACUAGCUAAUCAGACGCGGACUCAUCCUGCACCGUAAUUUCUUUUCCUGCCUCCCUCAUGCGAGGCUGUAGGCUUAUGCGGUAUUAGCAGCCUAUUUCUAGCUGUUCGUCCCCCUGUGCAGGGCAGUAUUAUCCACGUCGUUACCUCCACCCCGUCCGCCACUCAGCGAGGAAGGUGCAACGCCACCCUCCUCGUCCUUUCGUUCCGACUUGCCUAGUGUUAGUUAACGCCACCGCCG
RNAcentral lists this ribosomal RNA (479 nucleotides) under uncultured Lachnospiraceae bacterium. RNAcentral's name for it is "partial 16S ribosomal RNA". The record is from RNAcentral. Lineage: Bacteria; Bacillati; Bacillota; Clostridia; Lachnospirales; Lachnospiraceae.